RNAcentral lists this long non-coding RNA (1353 nucleotides) under Junco hyemalis (dark-eyed junco). Its description in RNAcentral is "lncRNA (ENSJHYG00000003174.1)". The record is from RNAcentral. Lineage: Eukaryota; Metazoa; Chordata; Aves; Passeriformes; Passerellidae.
UAGAAUUCAAAUUUCCAGGCCUUUUUACUCCUUCCUUUCAUGUUUCAAGGAGCUGCUGCCCACAUGGGAUGGCAAUAUGCUGUCACCAUCAGUGCACCUGCACGGAGGACAGAAGAAGAGCAGCUCCCUUCUGUGAGUCACCGUGCUCCCAUCUGAAACAUUGGGUAAUAUUAGCAAGGAGUCUCAUAAAGGACCACCAAGAACUUCAUUACAUGCUCUGUGAAGCACAUUUGGACUGCCUUUCCACAGUCAACUUAAUCUGGUGGAAUACAAGCAAUAUUCUCAUAUGUAUCACAACUGGAUAUAUAAAGGAAGACCUGCAGUGUACUAAACACUUGGGUUUCAGGGUUUGAAAUUGUUUCUGUGUUCAUGGGAAAAAUCAAUCCAAGGAGUCAAACCUACACAAGCAAUGUUUCUGCUAUCUGCUGUGCCUUCUCUCCACUCUAUUGGCCCUUACAGACAACCCACUCCAGAGGUUUUCCUGAGCUCUACUCAGGAUUUUGGAUCUCUAGCUUCACACAAAACUGAGCAUUCUUUUCUUCUUGUUCAUCUAUAUAAGGCAAGCUCCCCAAAACCACAGCUUAGUCACUUCCCAAAUGUGUGAGAUUUCCAAUGACAAAGAGCUGGUAAUUUUCAUUGCCUCAGCAUUCCCUCCUCACUGAAAGAAACCAGGGCAACCAGAGGUUGGGAUUUCCCUGACCCUCCAGAUAAGCCCCUUCCCUACUGGAGCUAUAGCAAUGAUGUCUGAUAUUCAUACAUCUUGAGUGAACUCCAGAACUGUAGCAAAAAUAUAUAUUUAAAAAGCCCAAAAAAACAAACCUAACUCAUCAUUAUCUGCAUAUAGCAAAAUGUAGAAGGGAAGGAUUCUUCUGAUAUAAAUUUUUUCACAAGUCCUCACAAUUAAUGGCUUGAGUCUCUCGGCAUUUUUUGCUGGAGACAGCAGAGCACGGCUGUGUGUAGGAAGGCAACAUGCUGUCACCUACAAGCCGGGUAUUUGUGCUCCGGAGAGCUGCCUGCUGUGCAGCCAGACGCAAGCUGAGUGCUGCGGAUACAGAUGCGGUGAGCCUGCGGGGCCGGAGGGCAGGAAUGCGGCCGGAGCCGAGCCCCCAGCAGAGGGUGGGCUCUGACCGCGCAGGAAAGAGCUGCGGAGAGGGAAUCCCUGCUGCUGCCCGGGGGGAGACAAGGGGGUGCCAUGGCCCGCCUUUCUGAGGUUGUACUGCUGUCUGCUUGGGGCGGGGGGUGAAAUCUGGCUUCCCCGAUAGAAGCUGAACGUCCUUGUCCUCCUCCAAGUCACGGAGCUCUCAGCAGCAGAGCUCACUGCACACUGAAAAGACAUGUUUGUGUGAAUUAAUC